CCGUAGGGUUACCUGCGGAGGGAUCAUUACUGAGUUACCGCUCUAUAACCCUUUGUGAACAUACCUAACCGUUGCUUCGGCGGGCAGGGGAAGCCUCUCGCGGGCCUCCCCUCCCGGCGCCGGCCCCCACCACGGGGACGGGGCGCCCGCCGGAGGAAACCAAACUCUAUUUACACGACGUCUCUUCUGAGUGGCACAAGCAAAUAAUUAAAACUUUUAACAACGGAUCUCUUGGUUCUGGCAUCGAUGAAGAACGCAGCGAAAUGCGAUAAGUAAUGUGAAUUGCAGAAUUCAGUGAAUCAUCGAAUCUUUGAACGCACAUUGCGCUCGCCAGCAUUCUGGCGAGCAUGCCUGUUCGAGCGUCAUUUCAACCCUCAAGCACCGCUUGGUUUUGGGGCCCCACGGCACACGUGGGCCCUUAAAGGUAGUGGCGGACCCUCCCGGAGCCUCCUUUGCGUAGUAACUAACGUCUCGCACUGGGAUCCGGAGGGACUCUUGCCGUAAAACCCCCAAAUUUUUUACAGGUUGACCUCGGAUCAGGUAGGAAUACCCGCUGAACUUAAGCAUAUCAAA
Molecule: ribosomal RNA, 573 nt
Filed under: Colletotrichum scovillei
Lineage: Eukaryota; Fungi; Ascomycota; Sordariomycetes; Glomerellales; Glomerellaceae
Description: eukaryotic LSU rRNA
Rfam family: 5.8S ribosomal RNA (bases 212-365)
Source: RNAcentral